UGUUGAUAGAGGCUGCAGAGCUACUGGGGUCCCAGCAGUGCCUCCAGGUCUUGUGGCCAGAGACCUGGCAGAUGAUUGUGUUUGCCAGAGCUGGUGGUGUAUGUUCACUUGGCUCCACGGUCUUAGCUGCAUAUGCUUAUGUAAUGGCAGAGGAUGGUUGCAACCACAUAUGCAGCCACUGCUCAUGAUUUAAGAAUGGAGGAUAUGUCUAUUUGCUAAAGAGAUGAUUUAUUUCAUAAGGUGACCAAACAACACGGAUAGUGGGAGAAGGUGAGACACACUAAAAAUAUGCUUUCCUAAGGAUUUAUAAGCAUAUGUUUCCUCUUACAUAAUACAGAAAGCCUACAGACAUGUGAUAGGAAAGUCUGACAUUUAGAAGGAUUUCCUAAUUUUUAUGUAUUUCUCUUAGAACUCAUAUAGUCAAGGUUUUGUGACUGAUUAUAUUAACAUCAUUACACUUACCACAUUUUCACUUUAC
This 478-nucleotide long non-coding RNA is filed under the name Capra hircus (goat). RNAcentral describes it as "lncRNA (ENSCHIG00000001528.1)". The record is from RNAcentral. Lineage: Eukaryota; Metazoa; Chordata; Mammalia; Artiodactyla; Bovidae.